This 138-nucleotide ribosomal RNA is filed under the name uncultured eukaryote. RNAcentral describes it as "partial 18S ribosomal RNA". It matches the Rfam family "Eukaryotic small subunit ribosomal RNA", at positions 1299 to 1458 of the family's 1831-position model. The record is from RNAcentral.
UGGUGGAGUGAUUUGUCUGGUUAAUUCCGUUAACGAACGAGACCUUGACCUACUAACUAGCUGUGGGAAUUUCGAUUCGCCAGGAGCUUCUUAGAGGGACUAUCGGCUUUUAGCCGGUGGAAGAUCGAGGCAAUAACA